RNAcentral lists this ribosomal RNA (801 nucleotides) under Salmonella enterica. RNAcentral's name for it is "partial 23S ribosomal RNA". It matches the Rfam family "Bacterial large subunit ribosomal RNA", at positions 711 to 1513 of the family's 2925-position model. The record is from RNAcentral. Lineage: Bacteria; Pseudomonadati; Pseudomonadota; Gammaproteobacteria; Enterobacterales; Enterobacteriaceae.
AGACCCGAAACCCGGUGAUCUAGCCAUGGGCAGGUUGAAGGUUGGGUAACACUAACUGGAGGACCGAACCGACUAAUGUUGAAAAAUUAGCGGAUGACCUGUGGCUGGGGGUGAAAGGCCAAUCAAACCGGGAGAUAGCUGGUUCUCCCCGAAAGCUAUUUAGGUAGCGCCUCGUGAACUCAUCUCCGGGGGUAGAGCACUGUUUCGGCUAGGGGGCCAUCCCGGCUUACCAACCCGAUGCAAACUGCGAAUACCGGAGAAUGUUAUCACGGGAGACACACGGCGGGUGCUAACGUCCGUCGUGAAGAGGGAAACAACCCAGACCGCCAGCUAAGGUCCCAAAGUCAUGGUUAAGUGGGAAACGAUGUGGGAAGGCCCAGACAGCCAGGAUGUUGGCUUAGAAGCAGCCAUCAUUUAAAGAAAGCGUAAUAGCUCACUGGUCGAGUCGGCCUGCGCGGAAGAUGUAACGGGGCUAAACCAUGCACCGAAGCUGCGGCAGCGACACUUUAGUGUUGUUGGGUAGGGGAGCGUUCUGUAAGCCGUUGAAGGUGUCCUGUGAGGGGUGCUGGAGGUAUCAGAAGUGCGAAUGCUGACAUAAGUAACGAUAAAGCGGGUGAAAAGCCCGCUCGCCGGAAGACCAAGGGUUCCUGUCCAACGUUAAUCGGGGCAGGGUGAGUCGACCCCUAAGGCGAGGCCGAAAGGCGUAGUCGAUGGGAAACGGGUUAAUAUUCCCGUACUUGGUGUUACUGCGAAGGGGGGACGGAGAAGGCUAUGUUGGCCGGGCGACGGUAGUCCCGGUUU